RNAcentral lists this ribosomal RNA (419 nucleotides) under bacterium 28W224. RNAcentral's name for it is "bacterial SSU rRNA". It matches the Rfam family "Bacterial small subunit ribosomal RNA", at positions 1043 to 1461 of the family's 1533-position model. The record is from RNAcentral.
UAAGGGCCUUUUUCAGUUGGGUUUGGGAAAUGUGGGGUUAAUUCCCGCAAGGAGCCCACCCUUUUCCUUUUGUUCCCACCGGUUAGGCCGGGCACUCAAAGGAGACUGCCAGUGAUAAACCGGAGGAAGGUGGGGAUGACGUCAAGUCAUCAUGGCCCUUACGACUAGGGCUACACACGUGCUACAAUGGCGUAUACAAAGAGAAGCCACCUCGCGAGAGCAAGCGGACCUCAUAAAGUACGUCGUAGUCCGGAUUGGAGUCUGCAACUCGACUCCAUGAAGUCGGAAUCGCUAGUAAUCGUAGAUCAGAAUGUCUACGGUGAAUACGUUCCCGGGCCUUGUACACACCGCCCGUCACACCAUGGGAGUGGGUUCCAACAAGAAGUAGGUAGCUUAACCUCGGGAGGGCGCUAACCACU